Molecule: long non-coding RNA, 579 nt
Organism: Mus caroli (Ryukyu mouse)
Lineage: Eukaryota; Metazoa; Chordata; Mammalia; Rodentia; Muridae
Source: RefSeq, a predicted model, not a curated record
ACGGUGUGUCAUUGAUACCAUUGUGUGAAUAGGUUUACUGUGUGGUUUUCCUUAGAAUGACAAAGGGAGAGUCAGAGUUAAGAAAGAGAAUGUUGAGAUGCUGGGAUUUGAACUCAUGAUGAGAAUGGAGGACUAUGAAAUAAAACAAGCCGGAAUCUGCUCUGGGAGGAAGAGGAGACAAGGCAGACAAUGCAGAAGUAAAUGGACAAGCAGGCGUUGGACUGAGCACUUGACUGGGAAGCGAGGAAGUGUUGGUCUCUGCCAUGACUAUGGAUGCGUGGGUGAGCUUAGGCACGUCCUCGUGUGGACUCAGUGAUCAUCUGAUACUGGUACCCGCCAUGUUUGAAUAUGGCUCAGAGAAGACAUGAGCUCUGCUGAAGGUCGCAUGGUGAGUCAGCAGUGCAACUGGGAAAAAGACCAACAGCCAUGGAUGAUUAACCAGACGAGGAUAGAACCGAAAUCCUUUAAAACAACCACAGAAGGAUUAAUCGGGCAAAUGCAUGAGCAGGCAGCCACAGUUUAUUGAGUACCUACUAUGUCCCAAGCAUGGUAAGAGGUGCUUCAUGUAUAUGGCCACAU